This 99-nucleotide transfer RNA is filed under the name Rhodocollybia butyracea. RNAcentral's name for it is "tRNA-Asn". It matches the Rfam family "tRNA". From Rfam's summary of the family: Transfer RNA (tRNA) molecules are approximately 80 nucleotides in length. Their secondary structure includes four short double-helical elements and three loops (D, anti-codon, and T loops). Lineage: Eukaryota; Fungi; Basidiomycota; Agaricomycetes; Agaricales; Omphalotaceae. The record is from RNAcentral.
UGCCGCAUGGCUGAGUUGGUCACAGCGUCCGACUGUUAUAAGUACAGUAUUGUGUAUGAUAACAUCGGAAGGUCGAGAGUUCGAGCCUCUCUGGGGCAG